UGCACCGCAUGCCGCCACACACCUCACCCAGCUCAUUUCACAGCCCAUUAGCAAGAAAUAAAUAUUAAUAUAAUAUGAUAUUAUUCUGAUGAAAGUGAAAAAUGUGACUAUAAUAAGGCUAUCGUGUUCUACUGGAUUAAUACGCCUGUUAAUUACCAGCAGUUCCUGUGGUCUUCAGCCUAACGGAUGGCCCUGGGAGCCCAUUUUGAACCCGAAGAGCAUAAAUUCCCCAUCCCUGCAACUCCGAGGAAGGAUCGGGACCGGAGCGUGCCCAGGGUGAGGGGGCAGAGCUCCCGUGUCCCCAUCCAUCCCUGUGGGAGCGCAGGGCAGCAAGGGGUGCAGAGGGCCCUGGUAUCCCCAAGCAAGGGGCGAGCAGCUCCUGGCAGUUUGGAGCACGGGGCUGUUCCAGCCCUCAGCACGAUGCACUGGGUGCUUUUUGGCAAAUUACCCCAUCAGCAGCCUGCCCGCCCCGCCUGGCACCAUGGGCAGGACUGGUGACAUCUCUGACAGGUGACUGACAGCGAUGGAUAAAAAGUGGAUAAAAUAAAGGGGGGAAAAAGGGAAAAAAAAGAAGACGGAGAAAGAGAGAGAGGGGGAGAGAAAGAACCUCGAGAAGGCUUUACCCAGGGUUCCCUGGGCUGAGCUAUAUCAGUCAAUCUCCGGGCUAAUUCGUGUCAGUACUUGUUUCCUAUCUCCUUGAGUCUCCAGCGGAAGGUUGAUAAAAUUGAAGUGGAAAUGAAGUUGGAUGCACAGGAGGAUACAUACAACAAUAGCCUGGCGAAAUGGGUUUGUAUCCCUGAUACACUCUUUGGAGCAUCAGGAUUGGUGGUGACCUUGACAGCGUCCUUGGGAGAAUAAAGUGAAAUAAAAGGGAGAAUUUCUAUCUGGGAGAAGGAAUUUAAGCACAGCGCUGCGUGUGCCACAUGGGCUUUGUCUCACGGACCUGGCUUAUUUAUCCAGAGGGAAUUUGUGUUUGCACAAGAGCUUCCCAAGCUGUCUGAGAUGCACGGAGCCAGCCUCGCUACCGCACUGCGAGACACUGCUUGUGAAAAACCCUCCAUUGCCUCAACUGGCUGUGGAUGAGCGGGAGGUAACUGGUCACAGUGUGAGGGCAGGGUCCCUCCAGCCAUACAUCCUGAUUCCCUGCAGGCUGCAGACUGUAGAGGUGUCUGUUUAAUGGCAGCAGAUAUCUUCCUUCAGCUGCCUUUUCUGUUGCAGAUGUGCUGGACCUGAGGCUGGUGCUGACUCAGAGCUUGCAGGCUUGCUGUGUGCAGGCACGGCAGCACCGACAGCUCGCUCCUUCCAAACACAGGGCUCAUAGGGCAUCACGAGGUACCUCGGCUGGAGCAUUUGGUAGCUGUAAUUUGGUGGCACCGAUGCGAGGUGGAACUGAUGUGCUCCUCGGAGCGGUACCCCCAUGGUGGGAUGCAGCACCGUGCUCUGAAGUCACAGAGCUCCGGCUUUCCUCAGCAGAGAUCCACGUGGGAGAUGGAUCAGAAGCAGCAGGCCUGGGGCUCCCCACCCAGGAAGAGACUUCCUCAGAGCAGGUGCAGAAGAUGCAGCAAAAUCACCCAACUUCCCCAAAACAAACGGAGCUCAGAGCGAUGCCAGCGGUGAUGACCAUGGAAAACAGCACUGAGCCCCACUCCCUGCCCAGCCCCAGCCCGGGCUUUGGCUAAUAAGAACCAGCUGGGUUUUUCCACUCUGAUAGCUGUGAGAAACUGAUGACAACCUGUUUGACCGCUGACCUCUGAACUUGACCCCCCGCUAAUACCUUCAGCUGCUGAUUGUCAUGGGUGGCUGGCAGAGCCCUUUGUCUUUCGCUGUUUUGGAGUCCAGACAGAUAAAUGAUUUCUAUUUGUCCUUUGGCGCAACGGAAGAGCUGAUCGAUAUUAUCCACGAAUGAUGUCAAGGAUUUGUCGCCACAGCUUAUGAAUGACAAAACACUACCCAAAAAAACACCUUUUGGGGCAAAAGAUUGAAAGCUGGAAAGGUUUAUUGAUUUUUGCUUUCUUAAAUAGCAGCUCAGGCCACAAAAGAGAAAACGAAAAGCUUUGUGUGCUAAAAUGCAGCAAAAAGCUUCCUCGAGAACAACGAUUAGAUCAGCUCUUGCAUUUAAGUACUGUGUGCCUUGCCACAGUCAACUGCUCAAUUUUGUCUGCUAAGCCCACUGCAAUUUCUGCUCAUUUUUCCUUAUUUCAAAAGCCCUCGUACAGUGAAAUACCAGCCAUGGAAUAAAACACUUCUCUGCUUUUGCCCACUGGUCACUCGGGUUGAGCUGGUGCACCUCCAGGGUGAGCAGGCAGCUCAGCAGCACAACAGCUCAGGGAGCUGAACUUCUUCAUCUCACUAUUUUUGGCAAACCAUUUCUUUCCCUGCAGACGCAUUUUGUUCAAACACUUUUUGCAUGCACUCAGCUGCGGUUCUACAAGCACCAGACAACAGGCUGUGAAGGCAGGAUUGGGGUUUCCGAUGCUGGAGGUGUCUGCACAGCGCUCAGGCACACAGCUGUGCUCCCUCACACACUGCCACCCCACCCCAAAACGAGUCCCUCGGGUGAAGUCAGCACAUCUCUCUCCUGGGAGAAAGCCAACCUUCUUGCCAAACAAGUGAGAAAUCCCCACAGCUCUCUGGAACCUGCAGGGCAGGAGGAGCUGCUGCCGCCUGCGGUGUAGUGGGGGAACUGGGGCAGUUCGGCAUGGACAGGAUCCAGUCACCAGGAGGCUGCAGCUCAUCACUUUUUGGGCCCGUAUUAACCACACGCAGAGCAAAAUGGGCACAUUUCUCAUCCACAGCUUCACUCAUCCCUGUUUCCCAGGCGGUUGCUCUCCACGGAGGCCACCUUACUGCAUUCAUUUGGGAGAUGAAGGAAUCCAGCCAUCGAUCCCUUUCACCAAGACUGUUCCAACUGACGUUACAAUUUCUGGAUUUCUUCCCUCCUUUUCCAAGUUCCACACUGCUCAGCUCUGUGGCCAAAGCAGCUCCAGAAGUCCCUGGAUGAAACAGGAGAGGUUCUCCUGGCUCAGCGCCCUGCUGGAGGCUCAGUGAACCCUGCUUGGCUCUCGGGUGGGUGAUGGAUGCCCAAGAAGGGUCAAAGGGGUUUGGUUACAACGGCGUAACGCACGUCUCCAGGAAGUGCAUUAGUUUGGUCUAAAAGGCUGAGAUCAGCGGAGCGAGGCAGGGCUUUCCUCAAACACGCCUGAUCCACGCAAAUGAAGAAAGCUGGCAGCUAUUUUGGCUCGGGAAGCCUGACCACUGAAAGGCGACAGCCCUUGGCCACGUUCCCACCAUGAGGACAGAGAAGAGAAGAACGACACCUCACCUGUGGCUUGGGAGCAAUCACGACCGGCACCGCUGCCACCUCCACCGCAGCACGAGGAGAGCUCGGCCACUGCUGCCCACCGUCCCACUGUGCUGCCCACCGUCCCACUGUGCCUGCUGGAGGGGCAUUGAGCCCUGCCAUUUUGAUUUUCCAUCUGCACUGCAUCAAAGGCAACGACCCCUGUCAAUCCCGAGACACAACCCAUGUGGAAGCGCAGGAAAUACCCUGCUUCGCUGCAGAUUUGGCUGUGACAAAUGUAAUGCUUUCUUUAGGGUUCUGUUUGUUUAAUUAAAUUUUACGCACGGAUAAAACGUUUUGUGAAAUUUCCACUGUGGGGUGUUGUAAUUAAAACUGGCGAACUCGAUA
Long non-coding RNA from Gallus gallus (chicken), 3688 nucleotides. RefSeq lists it as uncharacterized. Lineage: Eukaryota; Metazoa; Chordata; Aves; Galliformes; Phasianidae. The record is from RefSeq and is a predicted model, not a curated record. The transcript is spliced from 3 exons.